UACGUAGGGGGCAAGCGUUGUCCGGAUUUACUGGGCGUAAAGGGCGCGUAGGCGGCCUCCGCAAGUCAAUUGUGAAAUCUCCGGGCUUAACUCGGAAAGGUCAACUGAUACUGCGGGGCUAGAGUGCGGAAGGGGCAACUGGAAUUCUUGGUGUAGCGGUGAAAUGCGUAGAUAUCAAGAGGAACACCUGCGGCGAAGGCGGGUUGCUGGGCCGACACUGACGCUGAGGCGCGAAAGCUAGGGGAGCGAACGGG
RNAcentral lists this ribosomal RNA (254 nucleotides) under uncultured bacterium. RNAcentral's name for it is "partial 16S ribosomal RNA". It matches the Rfam family "Bacterial small subunit ribosomal RNA", at positions 524 to 776 of the family's 1533-position model. The record is from RNAcentral.